Non-coding RNA from Labrus bergylta (ballan wrasse), 743 nucleotides. The record is from RefSeq and is a predicted model, not a curated record. Lineage: Eukaryota; Metazoa; Chordata; Actinopteri; Labriformes; Labridae.
UAAAACGGGGUUUAACACUCCCACAGCUCCCACAGCUCCCACACGCGGAUCUCUGCAGACUGUUCGGUGUUUUCAUUGGUUGGUGGUCAGCAGAGCGUGCACACUUUGUGAUCUGCAGGUUUCUACAUACAGACAUAUAAGUGUCGAGGAGGAGGGAAGAAGAAGAUGUCAGAGAGCAGGGUGACGAUGGAGCUGGGAGUGAACGGAUCCUCCAAACACCAGUCUGCAGGAUUGGGACAACAACGACAUGGCUCCACCGUCAGCUUCCACAACAUCCACUACAAGGUGACGCAGGGAGGGAACUGUCUGUGCCGUAAGAAAGGGAAGAUCAAGGACAUCCUCCUCGAUCUGAAGUGAGUAAACGUGGGUAGGCGAACCGACCACGCUGCCACCGUUAACCCGAUAUCACAGUUUCAGUGAAUCUUGAUAUCAAAUUCACAUUUCUUGCCAAACUACAUAAGAUAAGAUAAAGAUAAGAUAAGAUAUAUUUUAUUCAUCCCAGCUGGGAAAUUUAGGUGUUCCAGCAGCCAGCAUACAAACAAACAUUCACACUGACAAUGAGAUCCAAACCAAAUAUUUGGCACUGAAGAAAUCAACCACACUUUAUACUCUGGUGCGUCCUAUGUUCUCCAUUUUGCGCUAAUCGCUUUUAAGAUAGUUAGCUUAAAUCUUAUGAUGCUACUUUUUAAGAGGCAGGAAAAUAGAUCAAGUCAGAAAUCAGGGAGAGAGGGAGUGAGGGAUGA